RNAcentral lists this ribosomal RNA (433 nucleotides) under Amblyomma sp. 1 JFS-2023a. RNAcentral describes it as "partial large subunit ribosomal RNA". The record is from RNAcentral. Lineage: Eukaryota; Metazoa; Arthropoda; Arachnida; Ixodida; Ixodidae.
UUUUUAAAUUGCUGUAGUAUUUUGACUAUACAAAGGUAUUGAAAUAAGACUUUAAUUGAGUGCUAAGAGAAUGGAAAUACAGAAAAAGUCUUUUUUAAACUUAAAAAUUUAAGUUAAUUUUAUUUGUGAAGAAGCAAUAAUAACAAUUAAGGACAAGAAGACCCUAAGAAUUUUAAAAAAUUAUUUUUAAAUUAAAAAAAUUAAUUUUUUUAAUUGGGGCGAUUAAUAAAUAUAAUAAAACUUUAUUUAAACAAUAAAAUGAACCAAUAAUAUUGGUUGAAUGCAAAAAUACUCUAGGGAUAACAGCGUAAUAAUUUUAGAUAGUUCUUAUAGACAAAAUAGUUUGCGACCUCGAUGUUGGAUUAGGAUUCUUUUUUAAUGAAGAAGUUAAAAAAAGAAGUUUGUUCAACUUUUAAAUUCCUACUUGAUCUGA